UACGUAGGGUGCAAGCGUUAAUCGGAAUUACUGGGCGUAAAGCGUGCGCAGGCGGUUAUGUAAGACAGGUGUGAAAUCCCCGGGCUCAAACUGGGAACUGCAUCUGUGACUGCAUAGCUAGAGUACGGUAGAGGGGGAUGGAAUUCCGCGUGUAGCAGUGAAAUGCGUAGAUAUGCGGAGGAACACCGAUGGCGAAGGCAAUCCCCUGGACCUGUACUGACGCUCAUGCACGAAAGCGUGGGGAGCAAACAGG
RNAcentral lists this ribosomal RNA (253 nucleotides) under uncultured bacterium. Its description in RNAcentral is "partial 16S ribosomal RNA". It matches the Rfam family "Bacterial small subunit ribosomal RNA", at positions 524 to 776 of the family's 1533-position model. The record is from RNAcentral.